This is a long non-coding RNA of Phocoena sinus (vaquita), 1674 nucleotides long. The record is from Ensembl. Lineage: Eukaryota; Metazoa; Chordata; Mammalia; Artiodactyla; Phocoenidae.
UAAGUACCAUGUUUGUAGGUGCCUGGCAUUAUGCUAAGCAUUUUUAAUAUUUGCCUGGUGCAGCUGGAGAUCGUAGAAGGCUAGAGACCAGGAAGAUGGGACUCGAGCAAACCCUCCCGUCUCAUACCCCACCCUGCUGCCCCUGAACGUGCUGUACCUUUGCACACGGUCCCACGCCGGUUGUGUCCUGUCCUUCUUGGUGAUUGUCCUGCAUAGUUCACACCUCAGCUCAAACAUCACAUUCUUCGGUGAAGCCCUACCUGACUCUUCCUCUGAGCUCCCUGAGAAAUCUUUAGCCAGACCACUGGGCUGGCACCUGAUGCAUCGUCUUGUCACUACUUAGGUACAUGUCCCACUAGUUAGUGAAUUUCUGGACAUAAAGGAUUUUGUCUUUCACCUUGGACUCUCCAACAGCUAACACCCCAUCAAGUACGGUGGACCCACCCAGUAAAUACAUGAUGAACAAAUGAAUAAGGGCAUGCUUUGGAUUUUUCAAGGAAUGAAUAGUUCAGAAAAUAAGAAAGGGAUGAUGCAGCCUUUGGAAUAAAACUACAGGGAACUAACGUGUGGGCACUUAUUUAAUACUAAGUAGACCAUAUUUAUAUGGGGAAAACGUUAGCUGUGAAAAGCACAAUUUUAUUGUGUUCUUGAAUUAAUGUGAAAGUAAAUUAUUGGAUGGAAUGAGGCAAAUAAUCCCAGACCAUUUCUUUCAUUUGGGCUUACCUUAACUAAAACUGCCACAAUGAAUAAAGCCCCAGUGUCUAUUUGGGUAGUUUCAAAAAUACAAAGUACUUUUUGCACCACGACUUACUUAUUCACAUUUUCUCAGUGCCUAAUAGAUCACGCAGUGUCUUCAUUCCCCAGAACUAGAUUAUUUUCCACCCACAGAUCCAUCAUAGGCAGAGCUUUACUUAUUUUUCUUCUAAGAGUGUGUAAGGUGAUUUCUCAUUACUCACUUAGGAUGUGCCUGUUUAUUAGGUGGGGAGAGAGAGGUACUGCAGAAGAAAUGAAAAAGAGAAAGAAAAUAACAGGAGGUUUCAAAAUAUCAGGAAUUUACCUAAUCUCAAGGUUGACUUCAUUUUCCACAAAGGAAGAACAUGAUUAGUUAGUAAUGAUAACCAGCUCUAUUUAUUUACAAAUAUGUACUGAGUGGGCGAUUUUCAUGUGAUGCGUUGUCUAAUGGGGAACACGGACAGGUGAAGGGCUUUCAACCUAUAGUGCAAUAAGCUUGUAGCCACAGAGCAUAUUAGCAGUAUCCAGAGACCUCUAGGUUGAGGUCUGGAGGAUGAGUUGGAGCAGAGUUCACUGGAGAGAAGAGAAGGUAGGAGGUGGUGUGCAGUUCUGCAAGAGAAGUGACAGUGAUCUGAAUUAAGGAGUUGCAGUGACUACGAAAAAAAGAGGUGGACUAAAUUUAAGAGAGAUACAAGAUGUGUGUUUCAUAGGAUUUGGCAUCUUAUUGCAUAUAAGAAGUAAGAAUGAGGGAGGGGAUAAGGAUGCGAUCAACAUUACUGGCUCAGGCAAAAGACACAUCUACCGGAACAGCGAAAAUAGGACUGAGAGGAAGUUUCGUUAGGUGACAGAGUUCAUUGUUGGGAGUACUGAGUGUCAUGUGCACCAGGAGAGAUCCAAAAAGAGAUAUUUAUAUAUAGGUUGUAUAUAUAAAUAUACACACAC